UGGGGAAUAUUGGACAAUGGGCGCAAGCCUGAUCCAGCAAUUCCGCGUGGGUGAAGAAGGUCUUCGGAUUGUAAAGCCCUUUCGGCAGGGACGAUGAUGACGGUACCUGCAGAAGAAGCCCCGGCUAACUUCGUGCCAGCAGCCGCGGUAAUACGAAGGGGGCUAGCGUUGCUCGGAAUGACUGGGCGUAAAGGGCGCGUAGGCGGUUUGCACAGUCAGGCGUGAAAUUCCCGGGCUUAACCUGGGGGCUGCGUUUGAUACGUGCGGACUUGAGGAUGAGAGAGGCUCGUGGAAUUCCCAGUGUAGAGGUGAAAUUCGUAGAUAUUGGGAAGAACACCGGUGGCGAAGGCGGCGAGCUGGCUCAUUUCUGACGCUGAGGCGCGAAAGCGUGGGGAGCAAACAGGAUUAGAUACCCUGGUAGUCCACGCUGUAAACGAUGUGCGCUGGAUGUUGGGAAGCUUAGCUUCUCAGUGUCGUAGCUAACGCGAUAAGCGCACCGCCUGGGGAGUACGGCCGCAAGGUUGAAACUCAAAUGAAUUGACGGGGUCAUAGCUGUUUCCU
This 561-nucleotide ribosomal RNA is filed under the name uncultured bacterium. Its description in RNAcentral is "partial 16S ribosomal RNA". It matches the Rfam family "Bacterial small subunit ribosomal RNA", at positions 355 to 1375 of the family's 1533-position model. The record is from RNAcentral.